RNAcentral lists this non-coding RNA (22 nucleotides) under Rattus norvegicus (Norway rat). The record is from RNAcentral. Lineage: Eukaryota; Metazoa; Chordata; Mammalia; Rodentia; Muridae.
AUUUUUAACCGAGUCUGCCUCA